UGCAGCCCUUACUACCCUAACCCUAACUACUGCAGCCCUAACUACCGCAGCCCUUACUACCUAACCCUAACUACUGCAGCCCUAACUACUGCAGCCCUUACUACCCUAACCCUAACAGCUGCAGCCCUUACUACCCUAACCCUAACUACUGCAGCCCUAACUACCGCAGCCCUUACUACCCUAACCCUAACUACUGCAGCCCUAACUACUGCAGCCCUUACUACCCUAACCCUAACUACUGCAGCCCUAACUACCGCAGCCCUUACUACCCUAACCCUAACUACUGCAGCCCUAACUACUGCAGCCCUUACUACCCUAACCCUAACAGCUGCAGCCCUUACUACCCUAACCCAAACUACUGCAGCCCUAACUACUGCAGCCCUUACUACCGCAGCCCUUACUACCCUAACCCUAACUACUGCAGCCCUAACUACCCUAACCCUAACUACUGCAGCCCUUACUAUCCAAACUACUGCAGCCCUGACUACCCUAACCGUAACUACCCUAACCCUAACUACUGCAGCCCUAACUACCCUAACUACUGCAGCCCUAACUACCCUAACCGUAACUACCCUAACCCUAACUACUGCAGCCCUAACUACCCUAACUACUGCAGCCCUAACUACCCUAACCCUAACUACUGCAGCGCUAACUACCCUAACUACUGCAGCCCUAACUACCCUAACCCUAACUACUGCAGCCCUUACUAUCCAAACUACUGCAGCCCUAACUACCCUAACCCUAACUACUGCAGCCCUUACUAUCCAAACUACUGCAGCCCUAACUACCCUAACCCUAACUACUGCAGCCCUAACUACCCUAACUACUGCAGCCCUAACUACCCUAACCCUAACAACUGCAGCCCUUACUACCCUAACUACUGCAGCCCUAACUACCCUAACCCUAACUACUGCAGCCCUUACUACCCUAACUACUGCAGCCCUAACUAUCCUAACCCUAACAACUGCAGCCGUAACUACCCUAACCCUAACUACUGCAGCCCUUACUACCCUAACUACUGCAGCCCUAACUACCCUAACCCUAACAACUGCAGCCCUAACUACCCUAACCCUAACUACUGCAGCCCUAACUACCCUAACCCUAACUACUUCUGGAGUGUUGAUACAAGAAGAGUGA
Molecule: long non-coding RNA, 1137 nt
Filed under: Takifugu rubripes (torafugu)
Lineage: Eukaryota; Metazoa; Chordata; Actinopteri; Tetraodontiformes; Tetraodontidae
Description: lncRNA (ENSTRUG00000027216.1)
Source: RNAcentral